AAAAUUCUUCGGGGUAGGGUGCAAGUCCCAACCGGCGGUAAAGUCCGCGACCUGCCUGGGAACAGGUGGCUGAACUGGUGAGAUUCCAGUACCGACAGUAUAGUCUGGAUGAGAGAAGAAUCAU
Lachnospiraceae bacterium 9_1_43BFAA is the source of this 124-nucleotide regulatory RNA element. It matches the Rfam family "FMN riboswitch aptamer (RFN element)". From Rfam's summary of the family: The RFN element is a highly conserved domain that is found frequently in the 5'-untranslated regions of prokaryotic mRNAs that encode for flavin mononucleotide (FMN) biosynthesis and transport proteins. This element is a metabolite-dependent riboswitch that directly binds FMN in the absence of proteins. The record is from Rfam. Lineage: Bacteria; Bacillati; Bacillota; Clostridia; Lachnospirales; Lachnospiraceae.